Molecule: ribosomal RNA, 484 nt
Filed under: uncultured bacterium
Lineage: Bacteria
Description: partial 16S ribosomal RNA
Rfam family: Bacterial small subunit ribosomal RNA
Source: RNAcentral
AUUGAACGCUGGCGGCAGGCCUAACACAUGCAAGUCGAGCGGAUGAAGGGAGCUUGCUCCUGGAUUCAGCGGCGGACGGGUGAGUAAUGCCUAGGAAUCUGCCUGGUAGUGGGGGAUAACGUCCGGAAACGGGCGCUAAUACCGCAUACGUCCUGAUGGAGAAAGUGGGGGAUCUUCGGACCUCACGCUAUCAGAUGAGCCUAGGUCGGAUUAGCUAGUUGGUGGGGUAAAGGCCUACCAAGGCGACGAUCCGUAACUGGUAUGAGAGGAUGAUCCGUCAGACUGGAACUGAGACAGGGUCCACACUCUUACGGGAGGCAGCAGUGGGGAAUAUUGGACAAUGGGCGAAAGCCUGAUCCAGCCCUGCCGCGUGUGUGAAGAAGGUCUUCGGAUUGUAAAGCACUUUAAGUUGGGAGGAAGGGCAGUAAGUUAAUACCUUGCUGUUUUGACGUUACCAACAGAAUAAGCACCGGCUAACUUCGUG